RNAcentral lists this ribosomal RNA (433 nucleotides) under uncultured bacterium. RNAcentral describes it as "partial 16S ribosomal RNA". It matches the Rfam family "Bacterial small subunit ribosomal RNA", at positions 29 to 507 of the family's 1533-position model. The record is from RNAcentral.
AGCGAACGCUGGCGGCAGGCCUAACACAUGCGAGUCGAACGAACUCUUCGGAGUUAGUGGCGGACGGGUGAGUAACACGUGGGAACGUGCCUUUUGGUUCGGAAUAACUCAGGGAAACUUGUGCUAAUACCGAAUGUGCCCUUCGGGGGAAAGAUUUAUCGCCAUUAGAGCGGCCCGCGUCUGAUUAGCUAGUUGGUGAGGUAACGGCUCACCAAGGCGACGAUCAGUAGCUGGUCUGAGAGGAUGACCAGCCACACUGGGACUGAGACACGGCCCAGACUCCUACGGGAGGCAGAAGUGGGGAAUCUUGCGCAAUGGGCGAAAGCCUGACGCAGCCAUGCCGCGUGAAUGAUGAAGGUCUUAGGAUUGUAAAAUUCUUUCACCGGGGAAGAUAAUGACGGUACCAGGAGAAGAAGCCCCGGCUAACUUCGUG